ACCUGCGGAGGAUCAUUAUCGAGAUCAGGGUCCCUGGGGGCCCGACCCUCCCACCCGUUGUGAACGUACCUUUGUUGCUUUGGCGGGCCGAGGCGCUUYGGCGCCCCGUCGACCUCGGUGGACGCGUGCCCGUCCGAGGACCCCCCCCAACCCAGCCGUGUCGUGGAGUCCGAGCGAUUGCGAAAUGGCUAAAACUUUCAACAACGGAUCUCUUGGUUCCGGCAUCGAUGAAGAACGCAGCGAAAUGCGAUAAGUAAUGUGAAUUGCAGAAUUCAGUGAAUCAUCGAGUCUUUGAACGCACAUUGCGCCCUCUGGUAUUCCGGGGGGCAUGCCUGUUCGAGCGUCAUUGCACCUCUCAAGCCCGGCUUGGUCGUGGGGGCCGCCCCCGGGGGCGACCUCGAAAUGCAGCGGCGACGCGGUCGGGUCCUCCAGCGCAGUAGAACUUUUCGUUUCGCUUGCGAGUGGCCCGGGCGCGUCCGCCGGACAACCUUCCGUCUUCCACGGUUGACCUCGGAUCAGGUAGGGAUACCCGCUGAACUUAAGCAUAUCAAUAAGCGGAGGAAAAGAAACCAACAGGGAUUGCCUCAGUAACGGCGAGUGAAGCGGCAACGGCUCAAAUUU
RNAcentral lists this ribosomal RNA (621 nucleotides) under Rimularia badioatra. Its description in RNAcentral is "eukaryotic LSU rRNA". The record is from RNAcentral. Lineage: Eukaryota; Fungi; Ascomycota; Lecanoromycetes; Trapeliales; Trapeliaceae.